CCUACGGGAGGCAGCAGUGAGGAAUAUUGGUCAAUGGACGAGAGUCUGAACCAGCCAAGUAGCGUGAAGGAUGACUGCCCUAUGGGUUGUAAACUUCUUUUAUAUGGGAAUAAAAUGUUCCACGUGUGGGAUUUUGUAUGUACCAUAUGAAUAAGGAUCGGCUAACUCCGUGCCAGCAGCCGCGGUAAUACGGAGAAUCCGAGCGUUAUCCGGAUUUAUUGGGUUUAAAGGGAGCGUAGGUGGAUUGUUAAGUCAGUUGUGAAAGUUUGCGGCUCAACCGUAGAAUUGCAGUUGAAACUGGCAGUCUUGAGUACAGUAGAGGUGGGCGGAAUUCGUGGUGUAGCGGUGAAAUGCUUAGAUAUCACGAAGAACUCCGAUUGCGAAGGCAGUUCACUGGACUGCAACUGACACUGAGGCUCGAAAGUGUGGGUAUCAAACAGGAUUAGAUACCCGAGUAGUC
Molecule: ribosomal RNA, 460 nt
Filed under: uncultured bacterium
Lineage: Bacteria
Description: partial 16S ribosomal RNA
Rfam family: Bacterial small subunit ribosomal RNA
Source: RNAcentral